This 445-nucleotide ribosomal RNA is filed under the name uncultured bacterium. Its description in RNAcentral is "partial 16S ribosomal RNA". It matches the Rfam family "Bacterial small subunit ribosomal RNA", at positions 331 to 792 of the family's 1533-position model. The record is from RNAcentral.
CCAGACUCCUACGGGAGGCAGCAGUGGGGAAUAUUGCACAAUGGGGGGAACCCUGAUGCAGCGACGCCGCGUGGGUGAAGAAGUCAUUCGUGACGUAAAGCCCUAUCAGCAGGGAAGAAAAUGACGGUACCUGACUAAGAAGCCCCGGCUAACUACGUGCCAGCAGCCGCGGUAAUACGUAGGGGGCAAGCGUUAUCCGGAAUUACUGGGUGUAAAGGGAGAGUAGGCGGCAGGGCAAGCCUGAUGUGAAAGCCCGGGGCUCAACCCCGGGACUGCAUUGGGAACUGCCCCGCUCGAGUGCCGGAGGGGCAGGCGGAAUUCCUAGUGUAGCGGUGAAAUGCGUAGAUAUUAGGAGGAACACCAGUGGCGAAGGCGGCCUGCUGGACGGUGUACUGACGCUGAGGCUCGAAAGCGUGGGGAGCAAACAGGAUUAGAUACCCGAGUA